UCGCACUCCAUAUGGAGUAGCCCCUGAGCCUUAGGUUGAAUCGAAGAAUCAAGCUGAGGGUCAAAGCUGUAAUUUUCUCCUUUUCCUUGUUUUCAAGAAAAAUUUGAACAUCGUGAUGAUGGACACGUGCCACAAAGCCCCCGAGCCUUGAGCCGACUAGUUGUGUAGGCAUAAGGGUCAAAUAUCAAUCCAUGUGUCCAUUCUUGGAAAAAACACACCAUAUCAUGAAAUAAUGGUCAACUGACAAUCAUAUCCUAGAUUAGAUCGGAUAGAUCUAUUGCAGGAUAAAUAGUAAACCACCAAUUAUAAUCUACCCCUUCACCUUCAACUACACUGUAGCCCUAGUACCGUCACCUUCC
Molecule: long non-coding RNA, 359 nt
Filed under: Setaria viridis
Lineage: Eukaryota; Viridiplantae; Streptophyta; Magnoliopsida; Poales; Poaceae
Description: long non-coding RNA (SVIR_LNC003485)
Source: RNAcentral